AAGGGUAUGACUUAGUGGUAGAGUACGUGUUUAGCACACACGAGGUCCUGGGUUCAAUCCUUAGUAUCUCCG
This 72-nucleotide transfer RNA is filed under the name Camelus bactrianus (Bactrian camel). It matches the Rfam family "tRNA". Rfam says of the family: Transfer RNA (tRNA) molecules are approximately 80 nucleotides in length. Their secondary structure includes four short double-helical elements and three loops (D, anti-codon, and T loops). The record is from Rfam by way of RNAcentral. Lineage: Eukaryota; Metazoa; Chordata; Mammalia; Artiodactyla; Camelidae. RNAcentral also lists the same sequence under 2 other names.